Molecule: ribosomal RNA, 253 nt
Filed under: uncultured bacterium
Lineage: Bacteria
Description: partial 16S ribosomal RNA
Rfam family: Bacterial small subunit ribosomal RNA
Source: RNAcentral
UACAGAGGGUGCAAGCGUUGUUCGGAAUUAUUGGGCGUAAAGAGCUCGUAGGCGGCCUGUUGCGUCCGCUGUGAAAGCCCGGGGCUUAACCCCGGGUCGGCAGUGGAUACGGGCAGGCUAGAGGUAGGUAGGGGAGAAUGGAAUUCCCGGUGUAGCGGUGAAAUGCGCAGAUAUUGGGAAGAACACCGGUGGCGAAGGCGGCUCACUGGCCCGUAACUGACGCUCAUGCACGACAGCGUGGGGAUCAAACAGG